UCUUUUCACUAGGCCCAGUCUUCUUGAUAUCUCUUCUCGCCUUUCCAGCAGAGUGCGUUGGAGGCAAUCAAGGGUGCAUGUGUGAGGCUGCAGGCCCUGGGGAGGCCAGGCAGCAAUGUUGCUUGCGGUGAUAGCAGCAGACAGCAGCAGGCAGCAGGACCCAGGCCUCCGUCUGGGCUUCCUCUGUCAGGAACCAGCUGUGUCGGCCAACAGCCACUCCUUCCCUUCUCGCAUCCUCUGUUCUAGGUUGCCCCUCUUUUGCUUCUGUGCACCUUGCCUACUGGCCAUAUUGAGGCUUUCUGUUGUCCAAUAUCCUCAAACACAUCCUUCCUGUUCAUCCUUUUGGGUUUAUGUGAUUGUAACUUGUCUCCUGAUGUCAAGCUAACUGUAUGUAGGCUUUUUGUAUUUUACUGUCUUUUGUUUGUUUUGUUUGUUUUUGCAUGACAGUUCACAAAAAAGUGCAACAAGCGGCACAGCGAAUGAGAUCUCUAGUCAAUGGCGUUGGAGUUGAACAAAGGAAUGACAAUAAAUGUCGAUUGCAUGUGCAAGUUGGCCAAAAUCUACACAGAAGCUAAUCACAGCAAUAAUAUGAUGUAAAUCUUCUCACGUACUGUUAUGUCAUCUAUUUCAAAUGACCCUGUGCAUACAAUUCCAUUGCAAUAAACUGUGUUUCAAACUUGUCAGUUUAAAAUUUCAGGAAACCAGUAGAACAAUGUUAGAAAAAGUACCUUCUGUGCUGUGUCAAUUGUUGGAACGAUGAAGAUGCUUUGGCUACAGAUUAAACAUAUUUGUUUGAUUUCA
Molecule: long non-coding RNA, 801 nt
Organism: Stegastes partitus (bicolor damselfish)
Lineage: Eukaryota; Metazoa; Chordata; Actinopteri; Pomacentridae
Exons: 2
Source: RefSeq, a predicted model, not a curated record